This 77-nucleotide transfer RNA is filed under the name Bradyrhizobium elkanii. RNAcentral's name for it is "tRNA-Ser". It matches the Rfam family "tRNA". Rfam says of the family: Transfer RNA (tRNA) molecules are approximately 80 nucleotides in length. Lineage: Bacteria; Pseudomonadati; Pseudomonadota; Alphaproteobacteria; Hyphomicrobiales; Nitrobacteraceae. The record is from RNAcentral. RNAcentral also lists the same sequence under 2 other names.
GCGCUCGUAGCUCAACUGGAUAGAGCAGGUCCCUACUAAGUUCCCGGUUGCCAGUUCGAAUCUGGCCGAGCGCACCA